This is a long non-coding RNA of Macaca fascicularis (crab-eating macaque), 1676 nucleotides long. The record is from Ensembl. NCBI's taxonomy places the organism in Eukaryota, Metazoa, Chordata, Mammalia, Primates, Cercopithecidae.
UUUUUUUUUUUUUUUUUUUCUUCGAGACUACUCUUGUUGCCCAGGCUGGAGUGCAGUAGUACAAUCUUGGCUCACUGAAACCUCCGUCUCCUGGGUUCAAGAGAUUCUCCUGCCUCAGCCUCCCAAGUAGCUGGGACUACAGGCGCCCGCCACCACACCCGGCUAAUUUUUUGUAUUUUUUAGUAGAGACGGGGUUUCACCGUGUUAGCCAGGAUGGUCUCGAUCUCCUGACCUCGUGAUCCGCCCGUCUCAGCCUCCCAAAGUGCUGAGAUUACAGGCUUGAGCCACUGCGCCUGGCCAAAGUUUACUUCUUAAAAUAGGAAGUGCCAUAUUGCCCUCUUAAAUAAUUGUAUUAAUUUGCUUUCAGAAUUCUGAAUAUUAUUUUUGUAAUUAUUCUUUUAAAUUUCAUUUCUUUAAUUGCAUGUGACUGUAGCCAUCUUUUCAUGUUAAAAGGCAUUUAUAGAGAUAUAUAUUGUGUUUACACCCUUAAUUUAUGGUAUCAUUUCAAAUCCAUUUAUGUCAUUUAUUUUACGGAUUAGAUUCUAAAAACAGGAUUCCAUCCAAUUGUUUUAAAAAAUCUUUAUCGCUCUUUUUUUCCAUCAAAUUAAAAAAAAAAUCUUUAUCGUUCUUUUUUCGUCCCCUCCUCCUCCUGCCUCCCGAGAUGGAGUCUCGCUCUGUCUGUCACCCAGGUUUAUAUUUUACUUCAAAACAUCUCAGUUAUCUGUUUUGCCUCAUAGUUCAAACCACACUGCUUUGAUUAACGGAGCCUUUUUAGUAAAUUUUGAUCUGAAAAGGCAGAUAUUCCUUAUUUUUCUAGAAUGUCUUGGUGCCACACAGUUUUCAUACUCGUUUCUUUGUGACAUAUUUUAAGCCAUCGUUAAACGAUUAGUCAGCUGUAAUUAACUUUAAGAAGUAUUCAUUUAUAUUUUUACUUUUGUCAACUUUCUGGAGGCUGGUGUUACAUCGAGAAAUAAGGCCACACCUGCCCACAAGUUGUCCCAACCCUGAUCAAUGCCUCACUGGCGAACGAACCGAGUAUGGAUACAACGCACAAAGACAAAACUCUGUUCGGCCUCCGUAGGAAGCUGAAAUUGAGAACAGAGUACAAGAAGGGCAAUUAAGAUACCUUUAAAAACAAGACGGCCGGUGGGGACAGCAGAGUAGAAGUUAGAAAGUUGGAGGUGGCAACGUAGGUGCCCCAGCUCUAACCUAUGGGAGUCACCAGAGCAGAGGCGGAGUCCCAUGCCGGCCACACCCUCUCCGCCUCCGCAGUCCUUUUACUGGAAAACCGCAGUAAAAGGAGGAAACGCGCGGAGACGUCUUGAUCUUCCGGUCCGAGAGCUCGCUUCCUUCAAGCCUUGGCGGGGGAAGGGGGGGGUUGGAGGGGGUCUGCCUUGCCCCAACGGCCGCGCCUGACGGUCGUCCAUUGGUUGUUUGCAUUCGAACUACAUUUCCCAGGAGGCCCUGGGGUUAGACUGGCCGCAGCUGGAGAAGUGCCAGCCCGUCAUGGAUGACUGGAGCCAGCCUCUUACCUUCCGUCUUCCAGGCAGAGCCACAGAGAGACAGGCUGCAGCCGUCUGGCCUCCCUCCAGCCCUGAGAGCUCCCUGGGCCCGUCUCAAGCGUUACCGUCUCAAGCGCAGAUUGCCCGCUCUGAACGGGGAGACCAGGCUUCUGC